CUAACCUUUCUUCUUACUUCACCCCUUUUAUUUUAAACCAUUAAUAUAUUUACCUGAGAACUAUCCUUAUCUUUUUCUAGUACUAUAUAGGAACCUCCCUCUAUUUAAUUAGUAGUUAUUAAUUAACGUACCUUUUGCAUCAUGGUUUAGCAAGAAAAAUUUUAAACUAAUAAUCCCCGAAAAUUAAGCGAGCUGAGCCUUUUUUGCUAAGAGCCCCCUUUCUCUUGUUACAAAAAGUUUUCCAAAAAUAGGCCCAGAGGCUACAUACCCUCGCGCUAAUUAAUAGCUGGUUGUUCAAUAACUUUAUAUUAGUAAACCAAGCAAACUUUGCUAUGUUAUAAAAUAAAGGAUAAGCUUUAUUUUUUUCGUAAUAUCAUCCCCACUAUUAAUUUGUAGGCCUAAAAGUAGCCACCCUAUAAAAGUGUUAUAACUUUUUUUCUUUAAAUUUUUCAUCUAAGAUACGAACUCAAUUGAACUUCUUCUAUAAACCCACUACUAUAAAUUUCUGCUAAUAUUAAUACUAUAAUUUCCCUUAUUUUUCCCCUAAAACCCCCUCCCUAAUAAUUUUAUAUACCUCAAACUCUUUAAAGGAACUCGGCAAAUAAGAACUUCGACUGUUUAUCAAAAACAUUGCCUCUUGUUAAAAUAUAAAAGGUACAUCCUGCCCAGUGACUUAAAGUUCAACGGCCGCGGUACCCUGACCGUGCUAAGGUAGCAUAAUCAUUUGCCUCUUAAUUAGUGGCUAGUAUGAAUGGACAAACGAAAGUUCCCCUGUCUCUAUUUAGCCAAUGAAAAUUAAUCUUCAGGUGAAGAAGCCUGAAUUUUCUUAAAAGACAAAAAGACCCUAUUGAGCUUUAUUCUAAUUCUAGACAUCUAUAAUAAAAAUAAAAUUUUCUCUAAAAUAAGAAUUUUGCUGGGGCAGCAAAGGAACACCCAAAAAUUCCUUUUUCAAAAGACUUAUUAGUCCACCUAAAUGAUCCAUUUUUAUGAUUAACAAAACUAGCUACCAUAGGGAUAACAGGCUAAUUUUUCUCUAGAGCUCAAAUUGACAGAAAAGAUUGGCACCUCGAUGUUGGCUUAGGAUAUCCUUAGGGCGCAAAAGCUCUAAAAGGUAGGUUUGUUCAACCUUUAAAAUCCUACAUGAGCUGAGUUCAGACCGGCGAAAGCCAGGUCAGUUUCUAUCUUUAAUUUAAUCCUUAACCAAUAGUACGAAAGGACCUUGAGUUAAAAAACACUUUUAUUUCCUGAAUUCAAAUAACACCUCUAUAAACAAUUAAUUCCUUGAAUCU
Molecule: ribosomal RNA, 1289 nt
Filed under: Sternaspis scutata
Lineage: Eukaryota; Metazoa; Annelida; Polychaeta; Terebellida; Sternaspidae
Description: 16S ribosomal RNA
Rfam family: Bacterial large subunit ribosomal RNA (bases 803-1192)
Source: RNAcentral